Non-coding RNA from Acanthosepion pharaonis, 99 nucleotides. The record is from the annotation of a GenBank genome assembly. Lineage: Eukaryota; Metazoa; Mollusca; Cephalopoda; Sepiida; Sepiidae.
GUUGAAACACCAGUUCCCGUACGAUCACCGAAGUUAAGCAACGUUCAACCUGGUCAGUAGCUAGCUGGGUAACCGCCUGAGAAUACCAUGUGCUGUAAG